AAGGUAAGUGAUGAUCAUUAUUUGUUUAUUUAUCUAUAUUAUCUAACCAAUUAAGUGUAGUUAUUUAAGCUUAGUCACAAGUACUGUGAAAAGAGAGAAAAAAAAUCGAAAUAUAAAAAGGGUUUUUGUAAGUCUCAAACCUGAAAAUCAGAUAGUGACAUGUUAGCUCCUUAUGUGGAUAAAACAAAACAACUACCUUAACAUUCGAUCUUGAAGUC
RNAcentral lists this long non-coding RNA (218 nucleotides) under Spirodela polyrhiza (greater duckweed). RNAcentral describes it as "long non-coding RNA (SPOL_LNC001865)". The record is from RNAcentral. Lineage: Eukaryota; Viridiplantae; Streptophyta; Magnoliopsida; Alismatales; Araceae.